GAUGAACGCUGGCGGCGUGCCUAACACAUGCAAGUCGAACGGAGUCGUUUUGGCAAUCUCUUCGGAGAUGGAAUUCUCGACUUAGUGGCGGACGGGUGAGUAACUCGUGAGCAAUCUGCCUUUAAGAUGGGGGUAACAGUCGGAAACGGCUGCUAAUACCGCAUAAAGCAUUAAAUUCGCAGGUUUUUGAUGCCAAAGGAGCAAUCCGCUUUUAGAUGAGCUCGCGUCUGAUUAGCUAGUUGGCGGGGUAACGGCCCACCAAGGCGACGAUCAGUAGCCGGACUGAGAGGUUGAACGGCCACAUUGGGACUGAGACACGGCCCAGCAUCCUCCGGGAGGAAGCAGUGGGGAAUAUUGCGCAAUGGGGGAAACAAUGACGCAGCAACGCCGCGUGAUGGAAGAAGGCGUUCGGGUUGUAAAGAUCUUUAAUCAGGGACGAAACAAAUGACGGUACCUGAAGAAUAAGCUCCGGCUAACUACGUG
Molecule: ribosomal RNA, 483 nt
Filed under: uncultured bacterium
Lineage: Bacteria
Description: partial 16S ribosomal RNA
Rfam family: Bacterial small subunit ribosomal RNA
Source: RNAcentral